RNAcentral lists this ribosomal RNA (269 nucleotides) under uncultured bacterium. RNAcentral's name for it is "partial 16S ribosomal RNA". It matches the Rfam family "Bacterial small subunit ribosomal RNA", at positions 1225 to 1500 of the family's 1533-position model. The record is from RNAcentral.
UUACAAUGGGUGGAUACAGAGGGCCGGCCGCUGGCAACAUCGGUCCAAUCCUUAAAGUCAUCCUCAGUUCGGACUGGGGUCUGCAACCCGACCCCACGAAGCUGGAUCCGCUAGUAAUCGCGCAUCAGCCAUGGCGCGGUGAAUACGUUCCCGGGCCUUGUACACACCGCCCGUCAAGCCAUGAAAGCCGGGGGGCGCCUGAAGUCCGUGACCGCGAGGGUCGGCCUAGGGUGAAACCGGUGAUUGGGGCUAAGUCGUAACAAGGUACC